RNAcentral lists this ribosomal RNA (462 nucleotides) under uncultured bacterium. RNAcentral describes it as "partial 16S ribosomal RNA". It matches the Rfam family "Bacterial small subunit ribosomal RNA", at positions 338 to 795 of the family's 1533-position model. The record is from RNAcentral.
CCUACGGGAGACAGCAGUGAGGAAUAUUGGUCAAUGGACGCAAGUCUGAACCAGCCAAGUAGCGUGCAGGAUGACGGCCCUCCGGGUUGUAAACUGCUUUUAGUAGGGAAUAAAAGGGGGCUCGUGAGCCCCGUAUUGUAUGUUCCAUCAGAAAGAGGACCGGCUAAUUCCGUGACAGCCGCCGCGGUAAUACGGAAGGUCCGGGCUUUAUCCGGAUUUAUUGGGUUUAAAGGGAGCGUAGGGCGUUUUUUGAGUCAGCUGUGAAAGUUCGCGGCUCAACCGUGGAAUUGCAGUUGAAACUGGAGGCCUUGAGUGCAGACAGGGAUGCCGGAAUUCAUGGUGUAGCGGUGAAAUGCUUAGAUAUCAUGAAGAACUCCGAUCGCGAAGGCAAGUGUCCGGGGUGCCACUGACGCUGAGGCUCGAAAGUGCGGGUAUCAAACAGGAUUAGAUACCCUUGUAGUC